RNAcentral lists this ribosomal RNA (905 nucleotides) under Arthrobacter pascens. RNAcentral's name for it is "bacterial SSU rRNA". It matches the Rfam family "Bacterial small subunit ribosomal RNA", at positions 468 to 1368 of the family's 1533-position model. The record is from RNAcentral. Lineage: Bacteria; Bacillati; Actinomycetota; Actinomycetes; Micrococcales; Micrococcaceae.
AGUGACGGUACCUGCAGAAGAAGCGCCGGCUAACUACGUGCCAGCAGCCGCGGUAAUACGUAGGGCGCAAGCGUUAUCCGGGAAUUAUUGGGCGUAAAGAGCUCGUAGGCGGUUUGUCGCGUCUGCCGUGAAAGUCCGGGGCUCAACUCCGGAUCUGCGGUGGGUACGGGCAGACUAGAGUGAUGUAGGGGAGACUGGAAUUCCUGGUGUAGCGGUGAAAUGCGCAGAUAUCAGGAGGAACACCGAUGGCGAAGGCAGGUCUCUGGGCAUUAACUGACGCUGAGGAGCGAAAGCAUGGGGAGCGAACAGGAUUAGAUACCCUGGUAGUCCAUGCCGUAAACGUUGGGCACUAGGUGUGGGGGACAUUCCACGUUUUCCGCGCCGUAGCUAACGCAUUAAGUGCCCCGCCUGGGGAGUACGGCCGCAAGGCUAAAACUCAAAGGAAUUGACGGGGGCCCGCACAAGCGGCGGAGCAUGCGGAUUAAUUCGAUGCAACGCGAAGAACCUUACCAAGGCUUGACAUGAACCGGACCGCUGCAGAAAUGUGGUUUCCCCUUUGGGGCUGGUUUACAGGUGGUGCAUGGUUGUCGUCAGCUCGUGUCGUGAGAUGUUGGGUUAAGUCCCGCAACGAGCGCAACCCUCGUUCUAUGUUGCCAGCACGUGAUGGUGGGGACUCAUAGGAGACUGCCGGGGUCAACUCGGAGGAAGGUGGGGACGACGUCAAAUCAUCAUGCCCCUUAUGUCUUGGGCUUCACGCAUGCUACAAUGGCCGGUACAAAGGGUUGCGAUACUGUGAGGUGGAGCUAAUCCCAAAAAGCCGGUCUCAGUUCGGAUUGGGGUCUGCAACUCGACCCCAUGAAGUUGGAGUCGCUAGUAAUCGCAGAUCAGCAACUUUGCGGUGAAUC